GGCAGAACUCUGUGAGCUGCUGCCGCGCGCGCUCUCUCCCGAGGGCGGUGCUAUGGAAACCAAACGAGCAGGAGUGGGAACCCUCCGCCCCGCCUCCCCCAAAACAUCAUCUCCUCCUCACAUCCAUCAAUAAUUCAAGCAUCUCCCCCGAUUUCCAUCCCCCCUGACAACGACAUCCUUCCACACAGGCACGGAUAAAAAUGUUUAAAUCAAAAUGAGUGUUUUUGUUUUGUUUAUUUUUAUUUUUUUAAAAAGCAACGUAUUUAUCAGAUCUCCACCGAAUCACCAAAAUGCUGCACACUGUGACGCAUGCAUGAAACAACAUUGUUUAUAUUAUUCUAAUAAUAAUCAUAAUAAUCAUAAUAUUAUUAUUAUAUGAUAUAAUGUUAAUAUUAUUAUAUUAGACACAUAUUAUAAAUGUGAUGUUAGGAUCCAAAGGGAAAAGCGCGUGCAUUGCUUCUCCUGUCAUUUGUGGGUGUUGGAUGCCACCUGGUGUUUAAAUAGUGCACUGCAUCUUUCUCAAACUUUAUACACACGCUGCACGGAAACACACCUGCAACAUAUCAGUGUUGAUCCGCCUUCACUGCAUGCGUUCACUGCAGCAUUGCAUUGGCCCCGACUCAGUGAUGGUCAAACUGGUCCUCUGGUAGACGCCUGGUAGUUUGAUGUUCCUGCACAGUAUCUCAGCGGUCUGUUGGACGGUUGUACCUGGAAUCUGCUGCAGCCAGGCGCUCUUGGCCGACACUGUGCGAGGCAAGCUACGGCCAACUGCUUGUGCAUAACAACAUAAUAGCGCUGGCAAGUUGCUAUGGGCAAAUUCUGCUGCUGCUGCAGUGUGAAAAGGCUUGAA
Long non-coding RNA from Solea senegalensis (Senegalese sole), 850 nucleotides. RefSeq lists it as uncharacterized. The transcript has 3 exons. The record is from RefSeq and is a predicted model, not a curated record. NCBI's taxonomy places the organism in Eukaryota, Metazoa, Chordata, Actinopteri, Pleuronectiformes, Soleidae.